Centrocercus urophasianus (Greater sage-grouse) is the source of this 1220-nucleotide long non-coding RNA. RefSeq lists it as uncharacterized. The record is from RefSeq and is a predicted model, not a curated record. Lineage: Eukaryota; Metazoa; Chordata; Aves; Galliformes; Phasianidae. The transcript has 3 exons.
CCAGUAGGGAAGGAUCUCUUUUGGAGAUGGCUUCUCUUGGAGUUUUCUUAGAGAGCCCAGGAUGAUGGGAUGAAAGUUAAAAGAUAACGAAUAGCUGCAAUGUUGAUGGAAAAGAAGAGAACGCAGGAGGAAGGUUAGAGUCUGUCUGCUUAAUAGUAAGUAAGAGUAGACUGACAUGGCCCUGAAGGACAAUUCUUGAUGCCUGAGAACAGCAGCAAGGAAUGGUCACAGGAGUGAAUUAUCCUGAUAGCCACCGGUAUCCCCACCAUAAAACCUGUAUUGCAACAGCAAUAUGGAGCAGCCAUCAGUUAACCGCAGACAUUCCUGGCACAUUCCAAUAACAGGACAUGCAGCCAAGGAAGCCAACUGACCCAGCAUUUGAGGAGGUGUCUUUCUUCAGAAAGUCUGAUUCAAUCCUGGCUCCUCAGACCCAGUGGGAGUGCUGGGUAAGUACAUGUCACCCUGUGUUUUCUCCCCCUGAAGUCCAGGAGUGCUUUUUUAGGAAGACAGAGCCUGUGGGAUGAGGAACACAGACACGGUCUUGGCUGUGAGCUGAAGAUCUUGGUUCUGGAACCAUUGUUCUGAAGCUGCUUUGAGGAGACAGGCGGGGCCUGGCUCAUUUGAGGCUCCAAGAUGGGCAUCUUCAGUGGCAUGGGCAGAAUGUGAGCAGAAGCCAUGAUAAAGAGCAAUCACAACAUAACAGGAUAUGGAAGCACAGAGGGUAAGGGUUUUUACACAGCCUAGAUGAUGGUAAGAUGCAGGCUCCAUGACAAUGCAGUUCGAUUGAAAUUCCAGCCUGUUUGUAUUCUCAGUGUCAAGGACUUCCUUUCUUCAUUCUUGUUCUACUAUUGGUUUAAAUAUGUCUUUCAUGUUCUACCAUAAAAAAAUGUCAUUAGUGCAUUAUUACCUUUGUUUGUUAGUGAACAGAACUAUUGAAUGGUGCUGUGCCCAAGACUGCAUUUUGAGAGAUUCCCCUUGUAAGCAGCAUCCCAGGAGAUCACCUCCUAAGGACAGCCCACUGCUUUCUUUGUUUUAGAGAUUUUCAUAUUUACCUUACAUUCCUUGAACUAAUCACCCUUGACUGAGGCUGCAUAAUAAAAUACAUGACCAUUAAAAAAGUCAUGAAAUUUCAGCUUCUGCAAGCAGGCUAUGAUGAUGGAACAUCCUUUCAAAAAAGCAAGUCUGCUGGCAAUUCUAUUGAUGUUUGCACUAAAUGUGAU